AGUCCAGUCUGAUCAGAGAAAAACAUCAAAUUGGAGAGACGGUCUACAAAAUACCUGAGAACCUUUCAAAACUGACAAGGUCUUCAAAAAGAAGGAAAAUAUGAGAAACUGUCACGUAAAAGGAGACAGAACUACUAAACAUAAUGUGGUACCCUGGAUAGGACCCUGGAACAGAAAAAGGACAGUAAAGGUGGACUCUUUCCUUCCCACAUCUCCGCUUCAUGCUUUGAUAGUCUACAGUUUGAAAAUGUGACUCCUGAAUGCCAUCAGAGGACAGGGUUAUCCUCCUCCUGCCAAACCUUUGCUUUCCUCCAUGACAAUGGAUCCUUUGGCACCCAAUUCUGCCCCCUUCCCUCUCAUCUUUGUCCUCAACUCCUUGGUUUCCCCUCCUUUCUGUCACCCAGCACUGAGCGUGUCUCCUGCUCCAAUCGGGAGCUCCAGGUACCCCACCUCUUGCUUCUCAGUGGAACUCUUGGGACUGAAAGCAGGGAAUUCUACCCCAGGAUUCUUAUCCUGGCAAUACACAAUUCCAUAAAUCAACAUGCACAAGGCGGCCAAAGUUAUCAACCUUCCAAGCAGUCUCCCCCCAAACACCACAGUCACACAGGCGCUGUUACAACCACACAGGGUGAUACACAGACACUGACAGAAAGUCUCACAUAACCCUGAUCACACGAAGGACAGAGUCACAAGCAUCCAGUGGAAGGCACAUUAUUGCAGUCACACCACCGCCUCAGAGAGGUCAUGUACACGCACACAUGGCGGUCACAAACAUCACACACACAACCCCAGUCUCAAUCUCUCACACACCCACGGCUCACUGUCCCUUCACAGAGGCUGCAUUUGCAAACCUCGGGGUGGCGAACCUCGGGGUUCAGUCUCUCUCCUACUCACUUUGGUCUCACACAUUGGUUUUCCUCUCUCUCUCACACACAGUCUCAAAGGUCUCUGUUUCUGAGACAGGUGGAUUUCUCGCGCACAUACACAAACACUGCAGUUGCUACCUCGAACACGCGCACACACAAUACACACUGGUCUCCCUCACACGC
Non-coding RNA from Odocoileus virginianus texanus, 1049 nucleotides. Lineage: Eukaryota; Metazoa; Chordata; Mammalia; Artiodactyla; Cervidae. The record is from RefSeq and is a predicted model, not a curated record.